Molecule: ribosomal RNA, 431 nt
Filed under: uncultured bacterium
Lineage: Bacteria
Description: partial 16S ribosomal RNA
Rfam family: Bacterial small subunit ribosomal RNA
Source: RNAcentral
AACGAACGCUGGCGGCAGGCUUAACACAUGCAAGUCGAGCGCCUCGCAAGAGGAGCGGCAGACGGGUGAGUAACGCGUGGGAACGUACCCUUAUCUUCGGAAUAGCUCUGGGAAACUGGAAGUAAUACCGAAUGUGCCCUUAGGGGGAAAGAUUUAUCGGAUAAGGAUCGGCCCGCGUUGGAUUAGCUAGUUGGUGGGGUAAAGGCCUACCAAGGCGACGAUCCAUAGCUGGUCUGAGAGGAUGAUCAGCCACAUUGGGACUGAGACACGGCCCAAACUCCUACGGGAGGCUGCAGUGGGGAAUAUUGGACAAUGGGCGCAAGCCUGAUCCAGCCAUGCCGCGUGAGUGAUGAAGGCCUUAGGGUUGUAAAGCUCUUUCACCGGAGAAGAUAAUGACGGUAUCCGGAGAAGAAGCCCCGGCUAACUUCGUG